This 102-nucleotide small nucleolar RNA is filed under the name Sorghum bicolor (sorghum). RNAcentral describes it as "Plant small nucleolar RNA R71". It matches the Rfam family "Plant small nucleolar RNA R71". From Rfam's summary of the family: R71 is a member of the C/D box family of snoRNAs containing the C (UGAUGA) and D (CUGA) box motifs. Multiple nearly identical copies of this snoRNA have been identified in Arabidopsis, and it is thought to function as a 2'-O-ribose methylation guide for 18S ribosomal RNA. Lineage: Eukaryota; Viridiplantae; Streptophyta; Magnoliopsida; Poales; Poaceae. The record is from Rfam by way of RNAcentral.
AUUCCAUGAUGAGGACAUUCACAUGUAUCAGUGUAAAUGCUCCCAUGCUUCGAAAAUGGCUCCUGCUUUCUGCUAUUGGAAAUUGGAAAUCUUUCCUGCAUU